RNAcentral lists this ribosomal RNA (119 nucleotides) under Pteropus alecto (black flying fox). The record is from RNAcentral. Lineage: Eukaryota; Metazoa; Chordata; Mammalia; Chiroptera; Pteropodidae.
GUCUACGGCCAUGCUACCCUGAACAAGCCAGAUCCUGUCUGAUCUCGGAAGCUAAGCAGAGUUGGGCCUGGUUAGUACUUGGAUGGGAGAUCACCUAGGAAGACCAGGUACUAUAGGCG